UUAGAGUUUGAUCCUGGCUCAAGACGAACGCUGGCGGCGUGCUUAACACAUGCAAGUCAAACGAAGCUUGAUUACGGAUUCUUCGGAUGAAGUAUGAUAUGACUGAGUGGCGGACGGGUGAGUAACGCGUGAGUAACCUGCCCUUCAGAGGGGGAUAGCGUUUGGAAACGAACGGUAAUACCGCAUAAUGUAUUUUGACCGCAUGAUCGAAAUACCAAAGAUUUAUCGCUGAAGGAUGGACUCGCGUCUGAUUAGGUAGGGGGGGGGGUAACGGCCUACCAAGCCGACGAUCAGUAGCCGGACUGAGAGGUUGAUCGGCCACAUUGGGACUGAGACACGGCCCAGACUCCUACGGGAGGCAGCAGUGGGGAAUAUUGCACAAUGGGCGCAAGCCUGAUGCAGCAACGCCGCGUGAAGGAAGACGGUUUUCGGAUUGUAAACUUCUGUUCUUAGUGAAGAAUAAUGACGGUAGCUAAGGAGCAAGCCACGGCUAACUACGUGCCAGCAGCCGCGGUAAUACGUAGGUGGCAAGCGUUGUCCGGAAUUACUGGGUGUAAAGGGAGCGCAGGCGGGUGAUCAAGUCAGCUGUGAAAACUACGGGCUUAACCCGUAGACUGCAGUUGAAACUGUUCAUCUUGAGUGAAGUAGAGGUUGGCGGAAUUCCGAGUGUAGCGGUGAAAUGCGUAGAUACUCGGAGGAACACCGGUGGCGAAGGCGGCCAACUGGGCUUUAACUGACGCUGAGGCUCGAAAGUGUGGGGAGCAAACAGGAUUAGAUACCCUGGUAGUCCACACUGUAAACGACGUUAAUAGGUGUGGGGGGUCUGACCCCUUCCGUGCCGGAGCUAACGCAAUAAGCAAUCCACCUGGGGAGUACGACCGCAAGGUUGAAACUCAAAGGAAUUGACGGGGACCCGCACAAGCAGUGGAUUAUGUGGUUUAAUUCGAAGCAACGCGAAGAACCUUACCAGCACUUGACAUCCAACUAACGAAAUAGAGAUAUAUUAGGUGCCCUUCGGGGAAAGUUGAGACAGGUGGUGCAUGGUUGUCGUCAGCUCGUGUCGUGAGAUGUUGGGUUAAGUCCCGCAACGAGCGCAACCCUCGCCAUUAGUUGCUACGCAAGAGCACUCUAAUGGGACCGCUACCGACAAGGUGGAGGAAGGUGGGGACGACGUCAAAUCAUCAUGCCCCUUAUGUGCUGGGCUACACACGUAAUACAAUGGCCAUCAACAGAGAGAAGCAAUACCGCGAGGUGGAGCAAAACUUCAAAAAUGGUCUCAGUUCGGACUGCAGGCUGCAACCCGCCUGCACGAAGUUGGAAUUGCUAGUAAUCGUGGAUCAGCAUGCCACGGUGAAUACGUUCCCGGGUCUUGCACACAGGGCCCGUC
RNAcentral lists this ribosomal RNA (1387 nucleotides) under uncultured bacterium. Its description in RNAcentral is "16S ribosomal RNA". It matches the Rfam family "Bacterial small subunit ribosomal RNA". The record is from RNAcentral.